CGGUGCUUAAGAGCAAGUGCUCCUAAGUAAGCUUCAUCGGAAAUUUUACAGAAAAUUGGACAGAGUUUUCCCUGUUUUUGGACUAUCCCAAAAAAUUUCUCUGUCUCAAAUCAGCAACCAAACAUCCUAAUAGCAAUUCAAACAAUCGACAACUUAUCAAUUAACCAAAAUAGUCUUCACCAUUACUAAUCAACCCACUAACAACCAAAAAUACUAAUUUAUCUCCAACUUUGAUAAUAAAGAACGAUACUCGACAUAAGACUAAUAGCAAAAUAAUACUCAUGACACCAAAAGAAUGACUAUGGAGCGACUCUAAGAAUUCAAAGAAAAGACCAUAACAACUGAUAAAAAUCUCCAUCCACGCGAACAAGUGCGAGGCUCACCAAGAAUUCUCAACAUGUGCGCUCUAAUUAACGAAAUCCUCGUCUGCGUCAACUGUUGUCUCUGUAGAAAAAAUUUAGCGGGGAAUGAGUCGCUAGCUCAGUGAAUAAAAACACUUAACCACAACCGUUUUUAUUUGGGGAUAAGUCAGAAAACAUGCUAGUAUCUCAAACAGAAAAUAACAUAAAAUGCCCUUUCAGAAACAAUAAAUAAUUUUCAGUUUCAUCACGCUUUUCUUGUAGUAUAAUAUAAUUAACAAUUCAGUAAUAAGCUUGGUAACCACUGUAUAAUAUCAGUAUUCACAUUUUGGGAGGUUUCAAUGAACGGAUCAUGUAAUCGAUAUAAUUGUAGACUUCUUUGCAAUAAGUCAAAUAUAACGGUAGUCCCUACUCGAGGGAAGUCGGUAACAGUAUGCUAGUUCUACCUUCCCACUAGCGAGGGCUAUAACGGUAAUCUGUAAUUACAAGGUGCGCCAGGUCUAACGAACCCGCCGUUAGCUACGGGAUCCUUCAAUGUCUACUCCCAUUUAUACUUGUAUCUGUAAUCCGUAUAUACUCGUAGAAAAUAUUUUAAAACAAUAUAGGGCAUUUCGGUUUUUAUCAAAUCAUGUAAUUUCGUUUCAAUAACGGUAAAUCUUAUCUCAAGUAACAGUAAAAUGUAAUCAGUAACAAUGAGAAUAUUUAGAAUAACUGUAAUCGUCUAAAAUAAAUAUAGUAGUAUCAUAUCGAGUAAAGGACUUGUCCCACAUGCAAAUUCAAAUCAGUCGGUAACUCAUAUUAAAAUCAUACGUAAAUCAUGCUAGUUGUAGAAAUACAAAUUGCGGUAAGGUUACUACUCACAAUACUCGUGCCGAAAUAC
Molecule: long non-coding RNA, 1239 nt
Filed under: Nicotiana tabacum (common tobacco)
Lineage: Eukaryota; Viridiplantae; Streptophyta; Magnoliopsida; Solanales; Solanaceae
Description: long non-coding RNA (NTAB_LNC016831)
Source: RNAcentral